Molecule: long non-coding RNA, 679 nt
Organism: Drosophila virilis
Lineage: Eukaryota; Metazoa; Arthropoda; Insecta; Diptera; Drosophilidae
Source: RefSeq, a predicted model, not a curated record
UAAGUUUUUAUUUCAUACACUAAACUAAACUGUUUUUGAAUUUCCAGUUAAAAUUAUAUACAAGCCAAACAAUUUUUCGGUUCAGUAGAGGGCAUAAAAAACAAAUCAGUCAUCUGUUGAUUCUCUUCGAGUCCCAGCCUCGGAGGUCAACAAUGAUGUUUGGACGAUAAAGAAUCUAAGCUCAAAUAGCCUGAGAUAAGAAGGGCGAGGGCUUCAAUUCAAUUCAAUUCAAUUCCUUUUUAGGCUUUGUUUCCCAUGCGUUUGAGGACAGGCCCGGGCGAUCCUGAAGCCCCUUGGUGCGAGAUCAUAGAGCCUAUUUCAUGAUAUAGGCCGUGUAUGAGACGACUGCGCCCAUCUCUUAUAGGAGCUACCCAACCACUACCCAACUUUAUUUCAUGCUUAUCUGUUUGACUACUUACUUGACGAUUAUCUAAAUCCACUUUAUUGCCCAGCACGACAAAGGGGAAAUGCUCUGGAUCCCGCGGACUGGCCUGUAUUAAGAAUUCAUCGCGCCACGAGUCUAAAUUCUUGAAUGAGUUUGGCGCCGUCACAUCGUAGACGAGCACGCAACAAUCGGCGCCCCGGUAGAAGGCCACGCCAAGUGAUUGGAAGCGCUCCUGGCCAGCCGUGUCCCAAAUCUAGGAAGCAAUCAAAACGAUCAAUAAACAAUUUCGAACAA